This 252-nucleotide ribosomal RNA is filed under the name uncultured prokaryote. Its description in RNAcentral is "partial 16S ribosomal RNA". It matches the Rfam family "Bacterial small subunit ribosomal RNA", at positions 524 to 775 of the family's 1533-position model. The record is from RNAcentral.
UACGUAGGUGGCAAGCGUUGUCCGGAAUUAUUGGGCGUAAAGCGCGCGCAGGCGGUCCUUUAAGUCUGAUGUGAAAGCCCACGGCUCAACCGUGGAGGGUCAUUGGAAACUGGGGGACUUGAGUGCAGAAGAGGAGAGUGGAAUUCCACGUGUAGCGGUGAAAUGCGUAGAGAUGUGGAGGAACACCAGUGGCGAAGGCGACUCUCUGGUCUGUAACUGACGCUGAGGCGCGAAAGCGUGGGGAGCAAACAG